This 508-nucleotide ribosomal RNA is filed under the name uncultured bacterium. Its description in RNAcentral is "partial 16S ribosomal RNA". It matches the Rfam family "Bacterial small subunit ribosomal RNA", at positions 28 to 507 of the family's 1533-position model. The record is from RNAcentral.
GACGAACGCUGGCGGCGUGCCUAAUACAUGCAAGUCGAACGCUUCUUUCCUCCCGAGUGCUUGCACUCAAUUGGAAAGAGGAGUGGCGGACGGGUGAGUAACACGUGGGUAACCUACCCAUCAGAGGGGGAUAACACUUGGAAACAGGUUCUAAUACCGCAUAACAUUUUAUUCCGCAUGGCAUAAGAGUGAAAGGCGCAUUCGUGUGUUGCUGUUGGAUGGACCGGCGGGGCAUUAGCUAGCUGGGAAGGUAACGGCUCACCAAGGGCACGAUGCAUAGCCGACCUGAGCGGGUGAUCGGCCACACUGGGACUGAGACACGGCCCAGACUCCUACGGGAGGCAGCAGUAGGGAAUCUUCGGCAAUGGACGAAAGUCUGACCGAGAAACGCCGCGUGAGUGAAGAAGGUUUUCGGAUCGUAAAACUCUGUUGUUAGAGAAGAACAAGGACGUUAGUAACUGAACGUCCCCUGACGGUAUCUAACCAGAAAGCCACGGCUAACUACGUG